This 646-nucleotide long non-coding RNA is filed under the name Cicer arietinum (chickpea). RNAcentral's name for it is "long non-coding RNA (CARI_LNC000857)". The record is from RNAcentral. Lineage: Eukaryota; Viridiplantae; Streptophyta; Magnoliopsida; Fabales; Fabaceae.
AAAACCGCCACUCUUGAUGUCGUGAGUUAACAUCAUGUCUUUAGGCAUUUGCAGAUCCAAAGUAACACUCUUUAAUUAUACAAGAAUGAAACUUUUAAAAUAUAUUUCCAUGAAAUAUCCAUUAUGAUAUAAUGAGGCCACUACAAGAUGAGUUACCUCGAAGAAUGUACGACCAUCAAUAUUGAGAUAGACAACACCAAUAAGAGGUUUAUCCCCGUGCAUGACAUUUAAAACGAACACUAUAGAGAAUACAUUAUAAACAUGUAUCUUCUAAUACUACCUCUGAUUUUAUAUAUAUAUAACUAUUUAUAACUUAUUUUGAUCUCAAAUAUAAUAAAAAAAAAUUGCAUAUUUAAAAUGCAUUUAUUAUUUAUUUUACUUUUAUACUCUUAUUCCAUGUUUAAUAAACAUAAAUGCAACUUUCUCUAGAUAACUAAAUACAUGGUUUUUUUGGGAAUAACAACAGUUAAGUAAUUCGCAACCGAUGUUUGUCUGAGACUGAUUUAACAAAAUAGGGAACAGGUUACUCCUCUCUUUUCGGAAAAUUGUCUUUUGUACCCCUCAAUGAGAGAUGUUCAAUGGAAAUUUAAUUCAUUUGAAAUUUCUUGAAGAUGCGACCAUGUAUUAAAUUUAUAAAUAUUUUUUC